Molecule: ribosomal RNA, 247 nt
Filed under: uncultured bacterium
Lineage: Bacteria
Description: partial 16S ribosomal RNA
Rfam family: Bacterial small subunit ribosomal RNA
Source: RNAcentral
GUCGGGAGUUAGGAAAUGCAAGGAUGUUAAUAGCAUCUUUGCUUGACUAAGGCUCCGGAGAAAGCCACGGCUAACUCUGUGCCAGCAGCCGCGGUAAUACAGAGGCGGCAAGCGUUGUUCGGAAUUAUUGGGCGUAAAGAGCACGUAGGCGGCCGUGUAAGUCGGUUGUGAAAGCCUUCCGCUCAACGGGAGAACGGCAUCCGAUACUGCAUGGCUCGAGUGCGGGAGGGGAGAGUGGAACUUCUGG